RNAcentral lists this ribosomal RNA (301 nucleotides) under uncultured bacterium. Its description in RNAcentral is "bacterial SSU rRNA". It matches the Rfam family "Bacterial small subunit ribosomal RNA", at positions 8 to 290 of the family's 1533-position model. The record is from RNAcentral.
AGAGUUUGAUCAUGGCUCAGGACGAACGCUGGCGGCGCGCCUAACACAUGCAAGUCGAACGGAGUUUGUUGGAUUGAUCCUUCGGGAGAUUGAUAGCAAACUUAGUGGCGGACGGGUGAGUAACGCGUGAGCAACCUGCCUUUCAGAGGGGGAUAACGUCUUGAAAAGGACGCUAAUACCGCAUGAUAUUAUGGAGCCACAUGGCUCUAUAAUCAAAGGAGCAAUCUGCUGAAAGAUGGGCUCGCGUCCGAUUAGGUAGUUGGCGGGAUAACAGCCCACCAAGCCGACGAUCGGUAGCCGG